Molecule: long non-coding RNA, 773 nt
Organism: Oncorhynchus tshawytscha (Chinook salmon)
Lineage: Eukaryota; Metazoa; Chordata; Actinopteri; Salmoniformes; Salmonidae
Source: Ensembl
CUCUGCCAGUGAAGGUACUGUUAAACAAACGUGUCCACAGACAGAUAUCCUCUGCCAGUGAAGGUACUGUUAAACAAACGUGUCCACAGACAGAUAUCAUCUGCCAGUGAAGGUACUGUUAAACAAACGUGUCCACAGACAGAUAUCCUCUGCCAGUGAAGGUACUGUUAAACAAACGUGUCCACAGACAGAUUGAAUCUGAGACUAGAUAUGACUGUAUAGCAGUGUACUAUGAGUCCCAAGACAGACUUCUUCCUGUGAAUGGCUUAAUCAUGUAUACAGUGUGUGCUUGAUCCCUUUCUGUAUUUUCCCAGAUUGUUUUUCCAGCUCAAACAUGUCGUAGGUUUCUUCCAUGGAACCUAAACUGUAGGAUUUCAUUUUCAGUUCUACUUUCCAACCCAAUCGUUUAAACAUACCAACAUGGCAGCAGGUUUGCAGGUCUAUGAGUCAUGGUGAAAUUGCAUGAAAUGGGGAAGUCGUGUGUGUGUGUGUGUGUGCGUGUGUGCGUGUGUGCGUGCGUGUGUGCGUGCGCUCCAGGGCCACAGGCAGGUUUGUGCAGGUAUUCAUAUCCCUUAACGCCAAUUAAUAUCAACUGUUGCUGCUACAGCAUGGCAUUCCAAGAAGUGUAAAAUGCAAACCAUACACUCUGGCUAACCCACUUCUCUGUCUCUCUCUACCUUUCCCUCUCUUGAUAUUUCUCCCCCUAACUCUGUUUUUCUUCUUACUGUCUUCCACUUUCUCCUUUGCUUUCUUUCUCUGCCUCUCUCUCACUU